RNAcentral lists this ribosomal RNA (485 nucleotides) under uncultured bacterium. Its description in RNAcentral is "bacterial SSU rRNA". It matches the Rfam family "Bacterial small subunit ribosomal RNA", at positions 32 to 507 of the family's 1533-position model. The record is from RNAcentral.
AGACGCUGGCGGAAUGGAUUAGGCAUGCAAGUCGAACGAUAUUUAUCCUUUCGGGGAUAGAGACAGUGGCGAACGGGUGAGUAACGCGUGGGGAUCUACCUCUAAGCGGGGGACAACUCAGGGAAACUUGAGCUAAUACCGCAUGUGGCAGCAAUGCUAAAGAUGGCCUCUAUUUAUAAGCUAUCGCUUAGAGAUGAACCUGCGUACUAUUAGCUAGUUGGUGGGGUAAGAGCCUACCAAGGCGAUGAUAGUUAGGCGGCCUUAACGGGUGGCCGCCCACACUGGGAUUGAGAUACGGCCCAGGCUCCUACGGGAGGCAGCAGUCGAGAAUAGUCUACAAUGGACGAAAGUCUGAUAGUGCAAUUCCGCGUGGAUGAAGAAGCAUUUCGGUGUGUAAAAUCCUUUUCUCUGUGAGCAAAGAUCAGAAGGUGAACAAUUUUUUGAUUAAGAUAUUAGCAGAGGAAUAAGCCUCGGCUAACUCCGUG